UCGAUUUUGAUUUUCCUGUAAGGGCAGCAACCUCAUCAAGGAGUUUUGUAUAGUUAUGAUAUGGUUUGCUGUUACGCUACGUAUCACUUCUUCAAUAGUGUCAAUGUAAAAUAAUUAGCACUCCAACCAUUUUAUAAAUAGAUGGUUUUAUUUACUGAAUCGAUCAUGAAUAAACUUAAGCCCAAUGGCCUGCGAAAAUUGGCGCGGUACGGUACCGGGCGGUAUAAUCCCAAGCGUAAAGUGGCAAGGAUAUAUGCAAAGUCAUUGAAGAGGUGCAGUGCGAUGUAACACGGUAUAGCCAAAGACUUUGUUUCCAUGCGAAGAGUGACGAGCUCAAAUUGCCGGCAGUCUGCACCAAUUUAAAACGCAUUCCUCUUACACAAUUUGUAUUUAUUAACCCGAUUUUCGCGAUGGACACUUCAAGUUCUGAGUAGGAAUUAUUGCUGCUAGCAGCACUUCUCGAUGAAGAAAUUGGAAGACAAAAAAAUAUAAGUUACCGAAAUAAAAUCGAGGAGAAAAGAAGAUGGUGAAUUUUCCACUCUGAUAAUCCAG
This is a long non-coding RNA of Anastrepha obliqua, 552 nucleotides long. RefSeq lists it as uncharacterized. Lineage: Eukaryota; Metazoa; Arthropoda; Insecta; Diptera; Tephritidae. The transcript is spliced from 3 exons. The record is from RefSeq and is a predicted model, not a curated record.